Molecule: long non-coding RNA, 273 nt
Organism: Zingiber officinale
Lineage: Eukaryota; Viridiplantae; Streptophyta; Magnoliopsida; Zingiberales; Zingiberaceae
Exons: 3
Source: RefSeq, a predicted model, not a curated record
CUUAAAUCCUAGCAGCGACUUGCAGUCCACCGUGGCAAUAGACAACGGCGGGGCCGCCGUCAAGGCCAGCGCCACCGUCCACCAUCUCGCUGCUGUCGCCGCGAAGCAAGAUCUCAUCUUCCAUCCGGAUUGUUAUAGAAAUCAACACCAGUUGGAUCUGCCGAAUGGAUCUGAGUAUGGCCCGACACAAGGAUGGAGAUUGGAUGUUGGUUGAUGAUGUUCCAUUGGAAUAAAGGUAAAGGAAAGAUGGACUAGCAGUGGAAGCUGGAGGGC